UACGAAGGGUGCAAACGUUGCUCGGAAUCAUUGGGCGUAAAGCGCACGUAGGCGGCCUGUUAAGUCGGAUGUGAAAUCCCUCGGCUCAACCGAGGACGUGCAUUCGAAACUGGCAGGCUCGAGUAUGGAAGAGGGUCGCGGAAUUCCCGGUGUAGAGGUGAAAUUCGUAGAUAUCGGGAGGAACACCAGUGGCGAAGGCGGCGACCUGGGCCAAUACUGACGCUGAGGUGCGAAAGCGUGGGGAGCAAACAGG
RNAcentral lists this ribosomal RNA (253 nucleotides) under Sorangiineae bacterium. RNAcentral describes it as "partial 16S ribosomal RNA". It matches the Rfam family "Bacterial small subunit ribosomal RNA", at positions 524 to 776 of the family's 1533-position model. Lineage: Bacteria; Pseudomonadati; Myxococcota; Myxococcia; Myxococcales. RNAcentral also lists the same sequence under 2 other names. The record is from RNAcentral.